UGGGGUAUGGCUCAGUGGUAGAGUGCUCACCUGGCACAUGUGAGGCACUGGGUUCGAUCCUCAGUACCACAU
Molecule: transfer RNA, 72 nt
Filed under: Ictidomys tridecemlineatus (thirteen-lined ground squirrel)
Lineage: Eukaryota; Metazoa; Chordata; Mammalia; Rodentia; Sciuridae
Also listed under: 1 other name
Description: Spermophilus tridecemlineatus (thirteen-lined ground squirrel) tRNA
Rfam family: tRNA
About the family: Transfer RNA (tRNA) molecules are approximately 80 nucleotides in length.
Source: Rfam by way of RNAcentral